AGCGGAGAUGGCUAGCGAUAAGGUUUCUUUACAAAGGUCACGGAUCAGAGCGGUGUGUUCUGGGGCUGACAGCUGGUCUGAGGGAGGCCGUGUCUGUGUCAGCGAUGCAGCUAUGUGAAUGGACUCCAUCUCCACUACGGGACUGUCCACCGCCGCAGUGGUGGCCAUUAGUGUAUAGCUCAUACUGGUUUUGAUAUUUCUCUCCAGCCAGGAGAGUGUGCCAGUGCCGGCUCUAAAGAACUCACAUCAAAGGAACAAACAGAGGUUCUUGCUGACAGCGUGAGUGAGAAAAAAUUGGAGACGGAAUGCUGUUUAUAUUUUGUACUGCCUGCAGCGAUCAAUUGCAGACUGAGCAACAAGUUCUUCCCAGGCUAUCUCAGUGAGCUCAACAGUUGCUCCAUCUUUGCUAUUUCCACCUCCGAACUCAUCGGCAAGUCCUGACCCUUCUUGUCCUGUGGAGCCAAAGAGAGAAAUGAAGAGGCCGAGAUGAGUC
Molecule: long non-coding RNA, 493 nt
Organism: Puntigrus tetrazona (Sumatra barb)
Lineage: Eukaryota; Metazoa; Chordata; Actinopteri; Cypriniformes; Cyprinidae
Exons: 3
Source: RefSeq, a predicted model, not a curated record